Molecule: ribosomal RNA, 1310 nt
Filed under: uncultured bacterium
Lineage: Bacteria
Description: bacterial SSU rRNA
Rfam family: Bacterial small subunit ribosomal RNA
Source: RNAcentral
ACCGGCGCACGGGCGAGUAUCGCGUAUCCAACUCUGCCCUUUACUUCGGGGAUACCCCGUUCGAAAGACGGCCUAAUACCCGAUGUAAUUUCAUUCGAUGGCAUCAGAAUAUGAAUAAAAGAAUUUAUCGGUAAAGGAUGGGGAUGCGUCUGAAUUAGCUUGUUGGUGAGGUAAAGGCUCACCAAGGCGACGAUCAGUAGGGGUUCUGAGAGGAAGGUCCCCCACAUUGGAACUGAGACACGGUCCAAACUCCUACGGGAGGCAGCAGUGAGGAAUAUUGGUCAAUGGACGGAAGUCUGAACCAGCCAAGUAGCGUGCAGGAAGACGGCCCUAUGGGUUGUAAACUGCUUUUAUACGAGAAUAAUUUUGAUGCACGUGUGCGUUAUUGCAUGUAUCGUAUGAAUAAGGACCGGCUAAUUCCGUGCCAGCAGCCGCGGUAAUACGGAAGGUCCAGGCGUUAUCCGGAUUUAUUGGGUUUAAAGGGAGUGUAGGCGGUUUGUUAAGCGUGUUGUGAAAUUUAGGUGCUCAACAUUUAACUUGCAGCGCGAACUGUCAGACUUGAGUACACGCAACGUAUGCGGAAUUCAUGGUGUAGCGGUGAAAUGCUUAGAUAUCAUGAAGAACUCCGAUUGCGAAGGCAGCAUACGGGAGUGUAACUGACGCUUAAGCUCGAAGGUGCGGGUAUCGAACAGGAUUAGAUACCCUGGUAGUCCGCACAGUAAACGAUGGAUGCCCGCUGUUAGCGCCUGGCGUUAGCGGCUAAGCGAAAGCAUUAAGCAUCCCACCUGGGGAGUACGCUGGCAACGGUGAAACUCAAAGGAAUUGACGGGGGCCCGCACAAGCGGAGGAACAUGUGGUUUAAUUCGAUGAUACGCGAGGAACCUUACCCGGGCUUGAAUUGCAGAGGAAUUAUUUAGAGAUAAAUAUGCCCUUCGGGGUCUCUGUGAAGGUGCUGCAUGGUUGUCGUCAGCUCGUGCCGUGAGGUGUCGGCUUAAGUGCCAUAACGAGCGCAACCCCUUUUCUUAGUUGCCAUCAGGUAAUGCUGGGCACUCUGGGAGCACUGCCACCGCAAGGUGUGAGGAAGGUGGGGAUGACGUCAAAUCAGCACGGCCCUUACGUCCGGGGCUACACACGUGUUACAAUGGCCGGUACAGAGGGAUGGUGUAAUGCAAAUUGCAUCAAAUCUUAAAAGCCGGUCCCAGUUCGGACUGAGGUCUGCAACCCGACCUCACGAAGCUGGAUUCGCUAGUAAUCGCGCAUCAGCCAUGGCGCGGUGAAUACGUUCCCGGGCCUUGUACACACCGCCCGUC